AUGCAAACAAAAGAAGCUGCGGAAGCUUUGCCGAUACUGGAUCAGAUGACUCAAAGGGGAAUAAAAUGUACCACUAUUUCUUAUACAACUCUAAUCAACGAAAUGCUCAGAGAAGGGAAGGAAGACCGUGCUAAAAGGAUGUUCGAUGAAAUGGUUUCAUCAGGUCAUAAGCCAAGUGCAACCACAUAUACUGUAUUCAUUAACUCAUACUGCAAGGAAGGUCGAAUUGAGGAUGCUGAGAACUUAAUAGUGGAAAUGGAGAGAGAAGGUGUUGCUCCUGGUGUAGUGACCUAUAACACAUUCAUUGAUGGCUGUGGGCAUAUGGGAUAUAAUAACCGCGCAUUUGAUACUCUGAAGCACAUGAUGGAUGCAUCAUGUGAGCCAGAUUACGGGACCUAUUGUAUUCUUCUCAAGCAUCUUCUGAAAGGGAAUCUUAAUGUCAGUUAUGUAGAUGCUUCCGCCUUGUGGAACUUGAUAGAGUUGGAUACUUUCUGGCAGUUUCUUGAAAGAAUGUCACAAUAUUGUUUAAAUCCCACUAUGAAGACAUUCAAUUCUCUCAUUGCAGGAUUCUGCAAAGCCAGCCGUAUUAAAGAAGCUUGUGUUCUUCUUGAUCAUAUGUGUGGAAAAGAUAUAACACCCAAUGAAGAGAUAUAUAUGUCGCUUAUCAAG
RNAcentral lists this ribosomal RNA (669 nucleotides) under Triticum aestivum (bread wheat). RNAcentral describes it as "partial small subunit ribosomal RNA". The record is from RNAcentral. Lineage: Eukaryota; Viridiplantae; Streptophyta; Magnoliopsida; Poales; Poaceae.